Paramuricea clavata is the source of this 1700-nucleotide non-coding RNA. Lineage: Eukaryota; Metazoa; Cnidaria; Anthozoa; Malacalcyonacea; Plexauridae. The record is from the annotation of a GenBank genome assembly.
GAGACACUUCUAGGGGGGUCCGGGGGCAUGCCCCCCCGGAAAAUUUUUGAAAUCUAGAGUCCCUGAAAUACGAUUUCCUGCAUUUUCAGGGUGAGAUUAUUCAGAAUUCCGAAAAUUAUAAAGUAAACAAAACACACGAUUUUUUCAUGACUAUACGUAUAUAUAAUACCUACAAGUGCAGUAUUACAUCAUAGUCAAUAGAAUAAGGUUAGGGAACUCGAUGCAGACAUACAGUAAAAGACCUCAUUAUCUAUGUUUUUGUCUGGUUUAUGCAAGGAACGAUGGGUUCAUCGUCAUGUGUGUAUUAUUAGUUACCAAUAGCAGUGUGCUGGUUUAAUUACCCGGUCGUAAUAUUACACAAUGGCUAAACAAAAACAUAAUAACUAUUGGUUACUCUAGCGAAAUAAAAAUACAAUACACACAUGACGAUGAACCGACCAUUUUUUUUGCAUAAACCAAGACAAAAACAUAGAUAUGUCUAUUACGUCUGCAUCGAGUUCCCUAACCUUCUUAUUCUAUUGACUAUGAUUACAUUGAUUGACAGCUGCCUAAAGGAAUUGCUACUUCCAGGAAAAUUGAAGCCAACAUAAUUUUAUAUUUAAAUACAAAUGGAAAUAACUGUUAGGUAGAAUAAUAAUGGCUAUAUGUUAUCGUAGAUCUCCUUGAAUGACAAGCUUAUGAGGUUUUGCAAGCUUAAAUAUUUCCACUAAUUUGCUAAGUUCGAUAUUGUUGGCUAGAUCUCGUUCGUUGCUAAUCUGGACAAGGUCCUCGAGUCUAUCAGGUGACAUAACAACUCGCAAAUCAUUGUUUAUUAUUUUGACCUUGCUGUGUGUGCGCUCACAUGAUGCCACUGUCACAGGCAAGGCGAGUCCGACCUCAAACAAGUCGGGAUAAAGGUGGUGCAGAUCAUAUUUGCUGAAAACUUCGAGCAAGGAGGGCAAGCAAAUCCAAGGUGGAAACUUUCUUUUGGACCCUAUCUCUAGACUCUUUCCUUUCCUUCUCUUCGCUGCUAUGAUGCUCGUAUGUAAUCUUCCAGUUGUUACAUUACGUAUGUAAUCUUCCAUAUUCCAGUUAUAUGUACUCUUCGUACCAUUUCUUUUGGAAUGUAAACUUUCUCAUCGAUAUUUCCGAUGUUGAAAAAUCUAAGAUAGGUCUAACCGUCAAGAUUCGAAAACGAAGGUUCUAUUUGCCUCCCUCACACACAAUUUCACUUGAUGGAUCUCUUCCUUCAAACAUUUUUCUCUUUCAGUUGUGUAGUGAUGCAUUCCAAGAAGCUAAUGACCAUAUGUUGCGCGAACGGUGCAUUAAUUAAUUAACAUAUCUCCCUCACAUCUUAGCAGCAGGUCCAAACUUCCGCAUCACACAUUACCCCUUGCACUUAAUUUGGGUAAUAUGUUCACCCAUUAUGAUGGGUUUCCUUCGGCGGUCGUAAUCAGUGCCUGCAAUAUGCUAAUGGUAAAUACCGCAUAUAUGAAACGGUCUUUUGUCAAAAGUAAAGCGAAGAUCUUUUAAUACCGGUUUUUAUUCACACAAUAAAGACUGAAUUUAUUAAGUUAGAUCUAAAUAACUGGACUGAUGUCACAAACGUACCCCCCCCCCCCAAUUUUCUCACCGGAUUUGGACAAAUUAGAAAAUUGACCUUGAAGAGAACUGGGGGGGACGUGUCCUCCCCAGUCCUCCCCGUGGCGCCGCCACUGCUU